GACGAACGCUGGCGGCGGGCUUAACACAUGCAAGUCGAACGGAAAGGCCCUGCUUUUUUGGGGUGCUCGAGUGGCGAACGGGUGAGUAACACGGGAGUAACCUGCCCUUUACUUUGUGAUAACUUCAGGAAACUGGGGCUAAUACCGGAUAGGAGCUCCUGCUGCAUGGUGGUGGUUGGAAAGUUUCGGCGGUUGGGGAUGGACUCGCGGCUUAUCAGCUUGUUGGUGGGGUAGUGGCUUACCAAGGCUUUGACGGGUAGCCGGCCUGAGAGGGUGACCGGCCACAUUGGGACUGAGAUACGGCCCAGACUCCUACGGGAGGCAGCAGUGGGGAAUAUUGCACAAUGGGCGGAAGCCUGAUGCAGAAACGCCGCGUGCGGGAUGACGGCCUUCGGGUUGUAAACCGCUUUCGCCUGUGACGAAGCGUGAGUGACGGUAAUGGGUAAAGAAGCACCGGCUAACUACGUG
Molecule: ribosomal RNA, 468 nt
Filed under: uncultured bacterium
Lineage: Bacteria
Description: partial 16S ribosomal RNA
Rfam family: Bacterial small subunit ribosomal RNA
Source: RNAcentral